GACGAACGCUGGCGGCGUGCUUAACACAUGCAAGUCGAACGGAAAGGCCUGCUUUCCCUUGUGGGUUGCGGGUACUCGAGUGGCGAACGGGUGAGUAACACGUGAGUGAUCUGCCCCCAACUUGGGUAUAAGCCUGGGAAACUGGGCCUAAUUCCCGAUAGGACUGCAGGGUGGUGCCUGUGGUGGAAGACGAUUGGCUAGUGGUCGGGGAUGAGCUCGCGGCCUAUCAGCUUGUUGGUGGGGUAAUGGCCUACCAAGGGGGCGACGGGUAGGCGGCCUGGGGGGGUGGACGUCCACAUGGGGACUGCGAUACGGCGCAGACGCCUACGGGAGGCCGCCGUGGGGAAUAUUGCGCGGUGGGCGGAAGCCUGAUGCAGCGACGCCGAGUGGGGGAUGACGGCCUUCGGGUUGUAAACUCCUUUCGGCCGCGAGGAAGCCACCUGGUUGGAAGGGUGGUGACGGUAGUGGUAGAAGAAGCACCGGCUAACUACGUG
Molecule: ribosomal RNA, 494 nt
Filed under: uncultured bacterium
Lineage: Bacteria
Description: partial 16S ribosomal RNA
Rfam family: Bacterial small subunit ribosomal RNA
Source: RNAcentral